This 853-nucleotide long non-coding RNA is filed under the name Amborella trichopoda. Its description in RNAcentral is "long non-coding RNA (ATRI_LNC004639)". Lineage: Eukaryota; Viridiplantae; Streptophyta; Magnoliopsida; Amborellales; Amborellaceae. The record is from RNAcentral.
UCAGUACACUGGAGGAGGGGGAGAAGUGUAGGGGUAAUGGUGAACAGGAGGUGGUGGAGAUUUGUACUUGUAAACUGGAGGAGGUGGUGGGGGAGAUGUGUACUUGUAGACAGGUGUUGGAGGUGGCGGCGGCGGCGGUGACUUGUAUUUAUAGACUGGUUUUGGUGGUGGUGGUGGUGGUGACUUGUACUUGUACACUGGCUUAGGUGGUGGUGGUGGUGGAGACUUGUACUUGUACACUGGCUUAGGGGGUGGUGGAGGAGGUGAUUUGUACUUAUACACUGGUUUUGGUUUUGGGGAUGGUGGUGGUGGUGACAUGUAUUUGUACACUGGCUUUGGGGGCGGUGGGGGUGGUGACUUGUAUUUGUACACUGGCUUUGGGGGCGGUGGGGGUGGUGACUUGUAUUUGUACACUGGCUUUGGUGGAGGUGGUGGUGGAGAUUUGUACUUAUAGACUGGGGUCGGAGGGGGUGGCGGGGGUGACUUGUACUUGUACACUGGCUUUGGAGGGGGUGGUGGGGGUGAUUUGUACUUAUACACUGGCUUUGGAGGGGGUGGUGGUGGGGACUUGUACUUGUAGACUGGCUUUGGUGGUGGUGGAGAUUUGUAGUGAUAAGGAGGAUACACCACAUGAUUUGGGGGUGGUGGUGGAGACUUGUACUUGUACAGCGGCUUUGGAGGGGGUGGUGGUGGAGACUUGUACUUGUACACUGGCUUUGGAGGGGGUGGUGGUGGAGACUUGUACUUGUAAACUGGCUUAGGUGGUGGUGGUGGUGGAGACUUGUACUUGUACACCGGUUUUGGUGGUGGCGGUGGUGGAGACUUGUACUUGUACACCGGUUUUGGUGGUGGC